Molecule: long non-coding RNA, 1934 nt
Filed under: Canis lupus dingo (dingo)
Lineage: Eukaryota; Metazoa; Chordata; Mammalia; Carnivora; Canidae
Description: lncRNA (ENSCAFG00020015739.1)
Source: RNAcentral
CUCCCCCCCUCGCCCCGCGCGCCGCGCCCCAGCCGCCUGCACCGCGGACCCCAAGGCCCGGCACGUCCCGCCCGCCGAGCCCCCGCCCCGCGCGUCCCGGGCUCUCCGAAGUUACCUCCGAGGCCCCGCGGGGCUCCCGUGCUCUCCGGCGCCGCUGCGCUCGGCCUCCCACGCCGCGCCUCGGGAUGGAUCCGAGCCCCGCGCGGCUCCGGGGCAGCCCGAGGCCUGGCAUUCAGGAUCCUGGGAUGCAUGCCGGAGAGUCUGCAAACAACCUGAGCUCCUAGGCCUGGUCUCUGGAUACGCUGCUGAAGGAGAGGCAAGAGGAAGAAAGCAGGAGGGAAAAGGAGCCUUGUCCGUGCUUUGAGUUCUGUAAUUUCAUGGUAAGGGGCAGGAGAGGAACCAGGUGAGUAGGGAAGGCAGUAAGUCCUGGGCAUGGCUAUUUGGGGGACACGGUUCAUCCAAAUUCCCAGCCAUCCUGCACUGUCCAAAUGGGACAAUAAGUCAUGCCCUUUGCUGCAGAAAAACCAUGACUCCUCUUUGAGACCGUAACUACACAGCAGUGCUUAUCUGAUUCAUAGAUGGCGCUGCUGAUGUUAGAAGUUGAAGCACGAGUCCCCAGCAGAAGUGACUAGACCUUCCUAUUUCUCUCAACAGCUCUCCAGUGACUCAGGAAGCAAGCAGAAGAGAUUCUGUGGAGCCUGAAAUACUGCCUGGAACGUAGUGGGGGCUCAGUAAAUGUGCGGCAAGCAACUUGAAUGUUCUUGCAAACAUUGCAUCACAUGAAUCUCUUCUAAGUGCAAGGCUGGGCACGUAGUAGGCGCUCGCCACAUCUGCAGAGUCAUCUCUGUGUUUCCCCACAAUUCAUCCCAGGGAGCUCCCAGACCAAGCUGACGUUAGCUUCCCAACAUCCUCAUGGUGCCAGGGAGCGUGGAUUUGGGUUAUCAUGUGUUUUCUCACUGUCGGGAGAACCAAGCCUCAGCCCCGUAAAGGAAAUGACCUCAUGGAGGCCAUUCAGAAAGUGGGCAUUCGCUCAUGCUGAUCUAACACUUCCCCCUGGCACUGAACUCCGAACAGAAGGUGGGUCUCAGGUCAGCGUGCCUAAGUGAUACCCCUGACAAGGAAGAGUUCAGUGAAGCUCAGUGGGGAAGAGUAUUUACAAAAAAAAAAAAAAAAUCCACGGAUGUUGCCUGGAGAUUGCCAGUGCCAUGGGGGCUAUUUGAUGACCAGAGAGAGGCUGGCCUCUCAUUGGGAGACCUCAGUAUUUCCCUGGUAUCAUCUGGAUCCCUGAGAUAAACAAAAAUAUUUUUAGGGUUUGCAAAUGGGAAUGCUCGCAGGUUUCCACUGAAAUAACCCUCUCCUUUAUCAUGUCAGGGACGUUGGUCUAUGGGACAACCUGCAUCAUCCAGAAUUAUCUACUAGCUAAGCAGGAGACAGAUUCAUUAGCACUGGAUAUUCGUUAGCACAGGGAAGAAUGCAUUUGUUUAUUCCAUGCAAAUGCCAAGCACCACAAUGCACCAGGCCCUGUUAGCUGCCCCCAAAAGCAGAGCCGUCGCCAAGCACUAAUACGCAGAAAACUUAGUACAUGCCAGACGUCUGCAGUGAGACUUACUUUGCUUAAGCCUUACAAAAAUCCUAUAAGGCAGGUAAUGCUGCAAUUCCCACAUUACAGACCAGAAAUCUGCGAACAGAGAGGUUUAGUUACUUCUCUACAACCAUGUAGCUAGUAAGAGCCAGAGCGGGGAGCUGACCCCAGGCGGCCUGGCUCUAGAACCUAGGGCAUGCAUCUUUACACUAUGGAGAUGAUGGCACUUGCUCCAAAAGUCUCAGUGUCCAUGGGAAGAUGGUGCCCAGAAAGUCCUUAUAGCUCAGGAGGCCAGGCCAUGCAAGGGUCACAGUUAAAUAAAUUGCUGUUUCUGCUUAAAUAAAUUGCUUAU